RNAcentral lists this transfer RNA (85 nucleotides) under Laurus azorica. Its description in RNAcentral is "tRNA-Leu". The record is from RNAcentral. Lineage: Eukaryota; Viridiplantae; Streptophyta; Magnoliopsida; Laurales; Lauraceae.
GCCGCCAUGGUGAAAUUGGUAGACACGCUGCUCUUAUUAGUAAUCCUUUUUAGAAAUCGAAUGGAUUCGGUCUUAUACAUACGCG